RNAcentral lists this transfer RNA (72 nucleotides) under Camelus bactrianus (Bactrian camel). It matches the Rfam family "tRNA". Rfam says of the family: Transfer RNA (tRNA) molecules are approximately 80 nucleotides in length. Their secondary structure includes four short double-helical elements and three loops (D, anti-codon, and T loops). RNAcentral also lists the same sequence under 2 other names. The record is from Rfam by way of RNAcentral. Lineage: Eukaryota; Metazoa; Chordata; Mammalia; Artiodactyla; Camelidae.
GAGGGUACAGCUCAGUGGUAGAGCACAUGGUUAGCAUGCAUGAGGUCCUGGGUUCAAUCCCCAGUACCUCCA